Hemicordylus capensis (graceful crag lizard) is the source of this 286-nucleotide long non-coding RNA. RefSeq lists it as uncharacterized. The record is from RefSeq and is a predicted model, not a curated record. The transcript is spliced from 3 exons. Lineage: Eukaryota; Metazoa; Chordata; Lepidosauria; Squamata; Cordylidae.
AUCCUAUCUUACUAUCACAUCAAGGGAGGGCAAUAAGUCCCUGCGGUUUUGAAAAUAUUUGAGUGGUCAAAGACUGUAAUGAAGUCUAUCUAUCUAUUAAUAUGACAUCAUCAUCAGUCAGCUUCUGCCUGCAAGGAACCAGUUUUCUUCGGAGCUCAACCCUCAGGGAUUGAGGAUUAAACACAGUAAAGGUUCCUGUUACUGGGGAUGAGGGGAAUAGAAGAAAGGCCGUUCCUCUUCUUUCCAACUAGACAACCAUAACCUUCAUCCAAAUACAAAUCAGUAG